AUGCAGAAAGCACCGCCUUCUGCAUCCAAGGCCUCAACAUCGGCAGGAGUCAUUGCUGCCUGAAGAAGCUCCCGAGCAACCUGAAAAUUGCCAAAGCCCAAUCUAUUAUCUCAGGCCUCAGAUUAGGUCAGAGCUUUUGGCUCUAGAGAAACUUCAGCUAGCAGAUCGAUUGGACAAGAAGAUAUUUGCACCAAAAUUUGGGGUUUGCCCGAACCUCGGUGCAAUAAGGCUGCAG
Molecule: long non-coding RNA, 235 nt
Filed under: Elaeis guineensis (African oil palm)
Lineage: Eukaryota; Viridiplantae; Streptophyta; Magnoliopsida; Arecales; Arecaceae
Description: long non-coding RNA (EGUI_LNC046564)
Source: RNAcentral